UACAUCAGCGGCAGACGGGAGAGGAACACGUGGGAACGCGCCCUUCGGUUCGGAAUAACUCAGGGAAACUUGAGCUAAUACCGGAUACGCCCUAACGGGGAAAGAUUUAUUGCCGAAGGAACGGCCCGCGUCCGAUUAGCUAGUUGGUGAGGUAACGGCUCACCAAGGCGACGAUCAGUAGCUGGUCUGAGAGGAUGAUCAGCCACAUUGGGACUGAGACACGGCCCAA
RNAcentral lists this ribosomal RNA (229 nucleotides) under uncultured bacterium. RNAcentral's name for it is "partial 16S ribosomal RNA". It matches the Rfam family "Bacterial small subunit ribosomal RNA", at positions 88 to 334 of the family's 1533-position model. The record is from RNAcentral.